Molecule: ribosomal RNA, 261 nt
Filed under: uncultured archaeon
Lineage: Archaea
Description: partial 16S ribosomal RNA
Rfam family: Archaeal small subunit ribosomal RNA
Source: RNAcentral
CAGCCGUAAACUAUGCGCGUUAGGUGUGCUGGUGACCACGUGUCACCGGGGUGCCGAAGGGAAACCGUGAAACGUGCCGCCUAGGAAGUACGGUCGCAAGGCUGAAACUUAAAGGAAUUGGCGGGGGAGCACCACAACGGGUGGAGCUUGCGGUUUAAUUGGACUCAACGCCGGAAAUCUCACCGGAUAGGACAGACAAAUGAUAGUCGGGCUGAAGACUCUACUUGAUGAUCUGAGAGGAGGUGCAUGGCGUCAGUGACU